AAAUGCGAUAAGUAAUGUGAAUUGCAGAAUUCCGUGAAUCAUCGAAUCUUUGAACGCACAUUGCGCCCUCUGGUAUUCCGGGGGGCAUGCCUGUCCGAGCGUCAUUGCGAACCCCUCAAGCACGGCUUGUGUGAUGGGCCCUCCCGCGUCUUGGUCGUCAAGACGGGCCCGAAAUGCAGUGGCGGCUUCGCGGUUAUCCGAUCAGCCAGAGCGUAUGGGGACUUUCUCUCUGUCACACGCCCGCGGCGCGGACCGACGCCUGUCGACCUUCAUUCAUCGUUUUCUCGGUUGACCUCGGAUCAGGUAGGGAUACCCGCUGAACUUACGC
RNAcentral lists this unclassified non-coding RNA (328 nucleotides) under plant metagenome. RNAcentral describes it as "partial contains 5.8S ribosomal RNA, internal transcribed spacer 2, and large subunit ribosomal RNA". The stretch from base 1 to 104 matches the Rfam family "5.8S ribosomal RNA", at positions 51 to 154 of the family's 154-position model. The record is from RNAcentral.